Molecule: ribosomal RNA, 1330 nt
Filed under: Pollenia pediculata
Lineage: Eukaryota; Metazoa; Arthropoda; Insecta; Diptera; Polleniidae
Description: eukaryotic LSU rRNA
Rfam family: Eukaryotic large subunit ribosomal RNA
Source: RNAcentral
CGCACUAGUCACUUUGUCUUUAUGGCAAAUGUGAGAUGCASUGUAUGGAAUGUCAAAUUUCUAGUAUGAGAAAUUAACGAUUUAAGUCCUUCUUAAAUGAGGCCAUUUACCCAUAGAGGGUGCCAGGCCCGUAUAACGUUAAUGAUUACUAGAUGGCAUUUCCAAAGAGUCGUGUUGCUUGAUAGUGCAGCACUAAGUGGGUGGUAAACUCCAUCUAAAACUAAAUAUAACCAUGAGACCGAUAGUAAACAAGUACCGUGAGGGAAAGUUGAAAAGAACUCUGAAUAGAGAGUUAAAUAGUACGUGAAACUGCUUAGAGGUUAAGCCCGAUGAACUUGAAUAUCCAUUAUAGAAAAUUCAUCAUUAUGAUUUUAAUAUAUAAAUAAUAUUAUAAUAAUAGUGUGCAUUUUUUCUAUAUAAAGGACAUUGUAAUCUAUUAACAUUAAUGCAAGGAUUUAUCAUAAGAUCAUUUGCAAAAGUUUAUUCAAAUUAUUUUGCUUGCAAUUUAACAUAGAAUAAAUGCUUAUGAUUUGAUAAAGUGUUGAUAGAUUUAUUAUAAUAUAGUGCUUAAAUUUAUUUAUAAAUUUUAUAAUAGCAUAUUAAUCAAUGAUUUUUAUGUUUAUUAUAUGCACUUAUAUGAUUAACAAUGCGAAAGAUUCAGGAUACCUUCGGGACCCGUCUUGAAACACGGACCAAGGAGUCUAACAUAUUUGCAAGUUAUUGGGAAUAAAAACCUAAUAGCGAAAUUAACAUAACUUAUAUAAUGGGAUUAGUUUUUAGCCUAUUUAUAGUCUAUUAAUUCAAUCCCGGGGCGUUCUAUACAGUUAUGUAUAAUAAUAUUUAUAUUAUUUAUACCUCUAACUAGAGCGUACCUUGAGCAUAUAUGCUGUGACCCGAAAGAUGGUGAACUAUACUUGAUCAGGUUGAAGUCAGGGGAAACCCUGAUGGAAGACCGAAACAGUUCUGACGUGCAAAUCGAUUGUCAGAAUUGAGUAUAGGGGCGAAAGACCAAUCGAACCAUCUAGUAGCUGGUUCCCUCCGAAGUUUCCCUCAGGAUAGCUGGUGCAUUUAAAACUUAUGUAAAAUAAUCUUAUCUGGUAAAGCGAAUGAUUAGAGGCCUUAGGGUCGAAACGAUCUUAACCUAUUCUCAAACUUUAAAUGGGUAAGAACCUCACCUUUCUUGGUAUGAAGGUAGUGGUUGUGAUAUAAUGUGCCCAGUGGGCCACUUUUGGUAAGCAGAACUGGCGCUGUGGGAUGAACCAAACGUAAUGUUACGGUGCCCAAAUUAACAACUCAUGCAGAUACCAUGAAAGGCGUUGGUUGCUUAACA